GAUGAAGAACGCAGCGAAAUGCGAUAAGUAAUGUGAAUUGCAGAAUUCAGUGAAUCAUCGAAUCUUUGAACGCACAUUGCGCCCGCCAGUAUUCUGGCGGGCAUGCCUGUUCGAGCGUCAUUACAACCCUCAGGCCCCCGGGCCUGGCGUUGGGGAUCGACGGAGCCCCCCGUGGGCACACGCCGUCCCCCAAAUGCAGUGGCGGUCCCGCCGCAGCUUCCAUCGCGUAGUAGCUAACACCUCGCGACUGGAGAGCGGCGCGGCCACGCCGUAAAACACCCAACUCUUCUGAAGUUGACCUCGAAUCAGGUAGGAAUACCCGCUGAACUUAAGCAUAUCAAUAAGCGGAGGA
Molecule: unclassified non-coding RNA, 352 nt
Filed under: soil metagenome
Description: partial contains 5.8S ribosomal RNA, internal transcribed spacer 2, and large subunit ribosomal RNA
Rfam family: 5.8S ribosomal RNA (bases 1-120)
Source: RNAcentral